RNA transcript from Harpegnathos saltator (Jerdon's jumping ant), 1250 nucleotides. It is a transcript of the gene named putative nuclease HARBI1, with no coding region annotated. The transcript is spliced from 6 exons. Lineage: Eukaryota; Metazoa; Arthropoda; Insecta; Hymenoptera; Formicidae. The record is from RefSeq and is a predicted model, not a curated record.
UAACUAUCGGUUUAGCUUUAAACUCCGUUUAAAGCAAGUUGUGGAACUGGGCCUAAAGCGUUCUUUUUAUCUAAACCGUGCAAGAGAAAGCGUACUUUUUAGCAGUGCAGACUGCACCAGUUCAGUCAGUAUAGUGAACAGCAGACAAAUACAACACUGGUUCACAUCAGUGCAGAAGUGGCACCAAUAGGCCUUUCAGCAGUGCAGUAAAAACGAACCGGCCUAAUGAUAAAAGAACAUUAAAGUGCAGUAAGCAAUAUGGCGCAUUACGCAUUAUUAUUUGAUUCUUCACAUUUCUUCAGAUGAAGAUUUUAUGAUAAUACCACCGUUACAACCUAUCGUGGAUGAAAAUGAUAACGGUUGGAAAGAAAAUAUCCAGACAGAAUAUCCGAAACUAGGAAAUAAGACAUCUUACGACCAGACAUCUUAAAGACAUCUGACGUCUUAUGUCCCAGGUUUGGACAUUGAUCUUGUAGGGCGCUCUAAAAUUACAGCCGAAAAACAUAUAUUGACUUAUCUAUGGUUUAUAGGGCAUGAAAGUGCAUCAUACAGAGAUGUUGCCGACAGAUUUGGGAUAACACUUAGUGCCUUGUAUAAUAUUAUUAUUAGAGUUACAGAUUUUAUAAUGUCUAUUAUGCCUAAUAUUAUAAAAUAUCCAACUACAGUUGAAAAAAUGGAAACUGCAGCUUUUUACGAAAGAGAAAAAGGAUUCCCUGGUAUAAUAGGUGCUAUUGAUGGUUCUCAUAUCCGAAUUGAUCGACCAUUACAAGAUUCUGAUUCAUAUAUUAACCGAAAACAUUAUUUUUCAUUACAUAUUCAGGGAGUUAUAAAUCAUAAAAUGAAAUUCAUGGAUGUUUUCAUAGAAUAUCCGGGCUCAGUGCAUGACGCACAGGUAUUUCGAAAUUCACCAAUUUGCAACGAUUUGCCUGAACUUUGAGAAGAUAAUUAUUUUUUCUGAGUGAUAGUGCAUAUCCCUGUCUGAAACAACUAAUUGUAUCAUAUAGGGAUAAUGGACACAUGCACAAAGAAAACUUGCAAUCGCAAAUUAAGUUCUUCCCGAGUGAUUAUUGAAAACGCAUUUGGCUGUCUAAAACAGCGUUUUCAACAGUUAUAUCACUUUAAGUUAAGAAACAUAGUGCGAAUGGUUCAGAUCAUACACGCCUGUUGCGUGCUACAUAAUAUUGCAGAUGUUAAUGAUUUACAAUAUUUAGAAGAACAAAUAAAUGAUGAAUAUCCUGAUAUUAAAGUUG